ACGAAAUUACUGGGGCAUUACCUUAGGGCCUUGUGGUGAUCCUGUUCAAGUAAGUUCGUACCUCUGUGUCCUUUAGCACAAAGGAGACAGGAACCUAAGUCUGGUGGAUGAACUAUGAUCGUGGGAUCAGAGCGUGACUAACGGCUGGAUCAGUUCUUUGGAAUUGUCCUUGGCUGUAAAGGAUCGUUCUCAGUUAGAAUUUCCUUACUGGGUUGGAGCUUAACCGUUAUAGGAU
Small nucleolar RNA from Hevea brasiliensis (rubber tree), 235 nucleotides. RefSeq annotates it as small nucleolar RNA U3. The record is from RefSeq and is a predicted model, not a curated record. NCBI's taxonomy places the organism in Eukaryota, Viridiplantae, Streptophyta, Magnoliopsida, Malpighiales, Euphorbiaceae. The transcript has a single exon.